Non-coding RNA from Rattus norvegicus (Norway rat), 783 nucleotides. The record is from RefSeq and is a predicted model, not a curated record. Lineage: Eukaryota; Metazoa; Chordata; Mammalia; Rodentia; Muridae.
GAGGACUCCUUUAGGACUCCACACUCUAUCUCCUCUGCCAUCUAAAGGCUAUGUAUGUUUGAAAAUGCCAGGCAUUCAGACACCAUCACUAAACUGAAAUCUCAUACUGCGGGACAUAAUAGAUUUUCUGUACUGCAUAAAAUAUAGAGCUCAUGGCUCUAUGUCAAACCUAUGAAAUCAAAAUUGGGGUAUAGUGGGACCUGAGAAUGUUGUUUAAUAUAGUUCCUGGGUAGGGUGGCCCUUAGAUUUUUUUCAAAGACUGAACUCCACUUCCUGACUCUUGAUGCCCUCUCUCCUCUGACAAGAAAUUUUGCGAAAUCAACCUGCCCCAAAAGUAUUCCACUUCUUCCUGGAUACCCAAGGACUAUAGGAUGAACCACAUCCCUGACCUACUGAGCCCAGACAGUCUUGAGCAGACUAAGGUCCAUGUAAAUGUCAAAUAUUCCUCAUAAAAUCAACCUGAGAAUAACCACCUUCAGCUGCCCAAAGUCGAGGGAAUCGGGGCAACAACUCUUCAAUAACCUCUUCAAGCUGUAAAACAACAGGAGUUUACUUUUGAAACAUUUGCCUCAGCCAAGCUGCCUGGGUGACAGUUAAUAAGGAGAAAACCAGGAGACAUCCACAUGGAGUGGAGACUGUGAAGAUCAAAGCUGAGGGAGCCUCAGCCAGAGGAGUGUCCUUAGCACGCCACAAGCAGGUAUGCACUUAGCAGAAAACUAACUGGAAAUUAAAGAGCACGAGCACCUGCGAAGAGAUGCAGAAACGUGAGGUGAGCGAGUGCAU